RNAcentral lists this ribosomal RNA (480 nucleotides) under uncultured bacterium. RNAcentral's name for it is "bacterial SSU rRNA". It matches the Rfam family "Bacterial small subunit ribosomal RNA", at positions 28 to 507 of the family's 1533-position model. The record is from RNAcentral.
GAUGAACGCUGGCGGCGUGCAUAACACAUUCAAGUCGAACGGAGUUAUUUGAAUUAAUCCUUCGGGAAGCGUUUAGAUAACUUAGUGGCGGACGGGUGAGUAACGCGUGAGCAACCUGCCUCUGUGUGUGGAAUAACGUUUGGAAACGAACGCUAAUACCGCAUAAAGCAUAUUGAUCGCAUGGUCGAGAUGCCAAAGAUUUAUUGCAUAGAGAUGGGCUCGCGUCUGAUUAGGUAGUUGGUGAGGUAACGGCCCACCAAGCCGACGAUCAGUAGCCGGACUGAGAGGUUGAACGGCCACAUUGGAACUGAGACACGGCCCAGACUCCUACGGGGAGGCAGCAGGUGGGGAAUAUUGCACAAUGGGGGAAACCCUGAUGCAGCGACGCCGCGUGAAGGACGAAGGUCUUCGGAUCGUAAACUUUUGUCUUCAGGGACGAUAAUGACGGUACCUGAGGAGGAAGCCACGGCUAACUACGUG